AUCGCUUCUCGGCCUUUUGGCUAAGAUCGAAGUGUAGUAUCUGUUCUUAUCAGCUUAAUAUCUGAUACGGUCCUCAUUGAGGGCCCAGAAUAUUAAACUGAUUUUUGGAACCAGAUGGGGUGCUCGGAGCUUG
This 133-nucleotide small nuclear RNA is filed under the name Strigamia maritima. Its description in RNAcentral is "U2 spliceosomal RNA". It matches the Rfam family "U2 spliceosomal RNA", at positions 1 to 132 of the family's 192-position model. From Rfam's summary of the family: U2 is a small nuclear RNA (snRNA) component of the spliceosome (involved in pre-mRNA splicing). Complementary binding between U2 snRNA (in an area lying towards the 5' end but 3' to hairpin I) and the branchpoint sequence (BPS) of the intron results the bulging out of an unpaired adenosine, on the BPS, which initiates a nucleophilic attack at the intronic 5' splice site, thus starting the first of two transesterification reactions that mediate splicing. Lineage: Eukaryota; Metazoa; Arthropoda; Chilopoda; Geophilomorpha; Linotaeniidae. The record is from Rfam by way of RNAcentral.